Molecule: ribosomal RNA, 497 nt
Filed under: uncultured bacterium
Lineage: Bacteria
Description: partial 16S ribosomal RNA
Rfam family: Bacterial small subunit ribosomal RNA
Source: RNAcentral
GACGAACGCUGGCGGCGUGCCUAAUACAUGCCAGUUGAGCGAUGAAGAUUGGUGCUUGCACCAAUUUGAAGAGCAGCGAACGGGUGAGUAACGCGUGGGGAAUCUGCCUUUGAGCGGGGGACAACAUUUGGAAACGAAUGCUAAUACCGCAUAACAACUUUAAACAUAAGUUUUAAGUUUGAAAGAUGCAAUUGCAUCACUCAAAGAUGAUCCCGCGUUGUAUUAGCUAGUUGGUGAGGUAAAGGCUCACCAAGGCGAUGAUACAUAGCCGACCUGAGAGGGUGAUCGGCCACAUUGGGACUGAGACACGGCCCAAACUCCUACGGGAGGCAGCAGUAGGGAAUCUUCGGCAAUGGGCGAAAGUCUGACCGAGCAACGCCGCGUGAGUGAAGAAGGUUUUCGGAUCGUAAAACUCUGUUGGUAGAGAAGAACGUUGGUGAGAGUGGAAAGCUCAUCAAGUGACGGUAACUACCCAGAAAGGGACGGCUAACUACGUG